UACGGAGGGUGCAAGCGUUAUCCGGAUUCACUGGGUUUAAAGGGUGCGUAGGUGGGCUGGUAAGUCAGUGGUGAAAUCUCCGGGCUUAACUCGGAACGGUCAACUGAUACUGCUCGGCUAGAGUGCGGAAGGGGCAACUGGAAUUCUUGGUGUAGCGGUGAAAUGCGUAGAUAUCAAGAGGAACACCUGAGGUGAAGACGGGUUGCUGGGCCGACACUGACGCUGAUAGCGCGAAAGCCAGGGGAGCAAACGGG
This 254-nucleotide ribosomal RNA is filed under the name uncultured prokaryote. RNAcentral describes it as "partial 16S ribosomal RNA". It matches the Rfam family "Bacterial small subunit ribosomal RNA", at positions 524 to 776 of the family's 1533-position model. The record is from RNAcentral.